UUGCCUCAGUAACGGCGAGUGAAGCGGCAAUAGCUCAAAUUUGAAAUCUGGCUCUUUUAGAGUCCGAGUUGUAAUUUGUAGAGGAUGCUUCGGCUUACGUCUCGGUCUAAGUUCCUUGGAACAGGACGUCACAGAGGGUGAGAAUCCCGUUUGUGGCCGCGACUUCCGCCAUGUGAAGCUCCUUCGACGAGUCGAGUUGUUUGGGAAUGCAGCUCUAAAUGGGAGGUAUAUUUCUUCUAAAGCUAAAUACCGGCCAGAGACCGAUAGCGCACAAGUAGAGUGAUCGAAAGAUGAAAAGCACUUUGGAAAGAGAGUUAAAAAGUACGUGAAAUUGUUGAAAGGGAAGCGCUUGCGACCAGACUUGCCCGCGGAUGCUCAACCGGUCCUUCGGCCGGUGCACUCUUCCGCGGUCAGGCCAGCAUCAGUUCGAGCAGUUGGAUAAAGGCUUUGGGAAUGUGGCUCUCUUCGGGGAGUGUUAUAGCCCUUUGUGCAAUACAACUCGCUUGGACUGAGGCCCGCGCUUCGGCUAGGAUGCUGGCGUAAUGGUCGUAAGCGGCCCGUCUUGAAACACGGACCAAGGAGUCUAACAUCUAUGCGAGUGUUUGGGUGUCAAACCCGUGCGCGAAAUGAAAGUGAACGGAGGUGGGAACCUUUGGGUGCACCAUCGACCGAUCCUGAUGUCUUCGGAUGGAUUUGAGUAAGAGCAUAGCUGUUGGGACCCGAAAGAUGGUGAACUAUGCCUGAAUAGGGUGAAGCCAGAGGAAACUCUGGUGGAGGCUCGCAGCGGUUCUGACGUGCAAAUCGAUCGUCAAAUUUGGGUAUAGGGGCGAAAGACUAAUCGAACC
RNAcentral lists this ribosomal RNA (845 nucleotides) under Tubeufia aquatica. Its description in RNAcentral is "LSU rRNA". It matches the Rfam family "Eukaryotic large subunit ribosomal RNA", at positions 75 to 941 of the family's 3401-position model. Lineage: Eukaryota; Fungi; Ascomycota; Dothideomycetes; Tubeufiales; Tubeufiaceae. The record is from RNAcentral.